This 260-nucleotide long non-coding RNA is filed under the name Calidris pugnax (ruff). Its description in RNAcentral is "lncRNA (ENSCPUG00000005213.1)". The record is from RNAcentral. Lineage: Eukaryota; Metazoa; Chordata; Aves; Charadriiformes; Scolopacidae.
CGGCUGGCGAGGGAGAAGACAACUGAAAGCUGGGACCGUUAGAGGAAGGUGAUAAGGAAGACAGAACGACCCAGUGGAUUCAGCAACAGCAUAAAGCAGAACUGCAGACAAUAUUGUGGAAAUUUGAGGCCAGCAUUUUUGCUGCAUUAUGAAACUCGCAUAAGAAAAUUCUUCAUCGCGUGCAGCAGCCUGCAAAGCCGUCGAGGUUUUGGUGCUGGCUGUGAAGGAGCUGGGGCUGAGCCUUGGAAGAUGACACCGGG